This is a long non-coding RNA of Triticum dicoccoides, 228 nucleotides long. RefSeq lists it as uncharacterized. The transcript is spliced from 3 exons. Lineage: Eukaryota; Viridiplantae; Streptophyta; Magnoliopsida; Poales; Poaceae. The record is from RefSeq and is a predicted model, not a curated record.
GGGAGGAUGGGGAAUCCGUGUGGCGGCCUCGAUGAGCAGAUCGAGCAGCUCCUGCAGUGCAAGCCCCUCGUCAAGCACGAGGCUUGCUUUUAGUUCAGCGAUUGCCAGGGGAUCCAAUAUCUGGCCUCCAUUGCACGAAGAGAAAUUGUUUAGGAGCAUCGUGUUGUGGUAGAACUUUGUGCUUCAUCAGUCAUACAAAGAGCAUGGGAAAAGCUGGUGCAGGUACAC